RNAcentral lists this unclassified non-coding RNA (397 nucleotides) under uncultured Bartonella sp. Its description in RNAcentral is "partial 16S-23S ribosomal RNA intergenic spacer". The record is from RNAcentral. Lineage: Bacteria; Pseudomonadati; Pseudomonadota; Alphaproteobacteria; Hyphomicrobiales; Bartonellaceae.
UAAGGAUGAUCAAGAAUUGGAAGUCUUCAUAAAGUGAAAGCAUUCCUUUUUGAUCUCAUUAGACAUAAAGGUUUAAAUCAGUCCGUUUAAACAAGCAGACAAUUUAAACCUUGUGCAUAUGAACACGCACUUUAAAAAAAUGGUUCUUUCUUUCAAAGAGGCCCCUAUCUCUUAUGAAAGUUCCCACUUUCAAGGUGCUGUGCUCAUGUGUUAAGAUAUAUAAGCAGGCUAGCCGUCUUCGUUUCUCUUUCUUCAGAUGAUGAUCCCAAGCCUUCUGGCGAUCUAGACAAAACAAGCCUUAACUUAGGCUUUCAAAAAACACUUUUGUUUUUAUGAAAUGAUGUGUUUUUAUGAGAUUAUGCCGGGGAAGGUUUUCCGGUUUAUCCCGGAGGGCUUG